This 274-nucleotide ribosomal RNA is filed under the name Bacillus thuringiensis serovar fukuokaensis. RNAcentral describes it as "partial 16S ribosomal RNA". It matches the Rfam family "Bacterial small subunit ribosomal RNA", at positions 1 to 262 of the family's 1533-position model. Lineage: Bacteria; Bacillati; Bacillota; Bacilli; Caryophanales; Bacillaceae. RNAcentral also lists the same sequence under 1 other name. The record is from RNAcentral.
UUUAUUGGAGAGUUUGAUCCUGGCUCAGGAUGAACGCUGGCGGCGUGCCUAAUACAUGCAAGUCGAGCGAAUGGAUUAAGAGCUUGCUCUUAUGAAGUUAGCGGCGGACGGGUGAGUAACACGUGGGUAACCUGCCCAUAAGACUGGGAUAACUCCGGGAAACCGGGGCUAAUACCGGAUAACAUUUUGAACCGCAUGGUUCGAAAUUGAAAGGCGGCUUCGGCUGUCACUUAUGGAUGGACCCGCGUCGCAUUAGCUAGUUGGUGAGGUAACG